RNAcentral lists this ribosomal RNA (482 nucleotides) under uncultured bacterium. RNAcentral describes it as "bacterial SSU rRNA". It matches the Rfam family "Bacterial small subunit ribosomal RNA", at positions 28 to 507 of the family's 1533-position model. The record is from RNAcentral.
GAUGAACGCUAGCGGGAGGCCUAAUACAUGCAAGUCGAGCGGUAUAGAGACUUCGGUUUCUAGAGAGCGGCGCACGGGUGAGUAACGCGUACAUGACCUACCUUCAAGCCUGGGAUAGCCCUGGGAAACUGGGAUUAAUACCGGAUGUGAUAAUAAGUUUGGAUAUUUAUUAUUAAAGUUACGGCGCUUGGAGAUGGGUGUGCGUCUGAUUAGCUAGUUGGCGAGGUAACGGCUCACCAAGGCGACGAUCAGUAGGGGGCGUGAGAGCGUGACCCCCCCGACACGGGUACUGAGACACGGACCCGACUCCUACGGGAGGCAGCAGUAAGGAAUAUUGGUCAAGUGGGCGAAAGCCUGAACCGAGCCAUCCCGCGUGCAGGAUGAAGGUCCUAUGGAUUGUAAACUGCUUUUAUCAGGGAAGAAACGCCUUCAUUCAUGAGGGUCUGACGGUACCUGAGGAAUAAGCACCGGCUAACUCCGUG